RNAcentral lists this ribosomal RNA (498 nucleotides) under uncultured bacterium. RNAcentral's name for it is "partial 16S ribosomal RNA". It matches the Rfam family "Bacterial small subunit ribosomal RNA", at positions 30 to 523 of the family's 1533-position model. The record is from RNAcentral.
AUUGAACGCUGGCGGCAUGCCUUACACAUGCAAGUCGAACGGUAACAGGUCUUCGGACGCUGACGAGUGGCGAACGGGUGAGUAAUACAUCGGAACGUGCCCAGUCGUGGGGGAUAACUACUCGAAAGAGUAGCUAAUACCGCAUACGAUCUGAGGAUGAAAGCGGGGGACCUUCGGGCCUCGCGCGAUUGGAGCGGCCGAUGGCAGAUUAGGUAGUUGGUGGGAUAAAAGCUUACCAAGCCGACGAUCUGUAGCUGGUCUGAGAGGACGACCAGCCACACUGGGACUGAGACACGGCCCAGACUCCUACGGGAGGCAGCAGUGGGGAAUUUUGGACAAUGGGCGAAAGCCUGAUCCAGCAAUGCCGCGUGCAGGAUGAAGGCCUUCGGGUUGUAAACUGCUUUUGUACGGAACGAAAAAGUCUCCUCUAAUACAGGAGGCCCAUGACGGUACCGUAAGAAUAAGCACCGGCUAACUACGUGCCAGCAGCCGCGGUAA